RNAcentral lists this long non-coding RNA (1570 nucleotides) under Diabrotica virgifera virgifera (western corn rootworm). RNAcentral's name for it is "uncharacterized LOC126893400". The record is from RNAcentral. Lineage: Eukaryota; Metazoa; Arthropoda; Insecta; Coleoptera; Chrysomelidae.
UUGAUGACAUUUGGCAACAGUGAGUAGACUUGUAUUCCAAACUCCAAACCAAACAUAACCAACAUAACCUUAUAAAAAUUUCAGUUGUUAAAAAUGUUAAAUGAGUUAUUUAUUAUUGUUUUCUUAUAUUUUGCAAUUGUUAAGUUGGUUUACUUCGAAUUUAAUAGGCAUUAUUUACCAAAGAAUAUGCAUUACUUUGGUAUCUCUCCAGUUUUCUACAAGAAGUUUGGUGAUUUUGAAUUGGGAUUAUGAUGAAUUCAACCCAAAGGAAAUAAUGUGUACUAAUAUUUGAUGUGGAAAAAUUCCAGACACCAUAAAAAGUUGAGUUUCUUCCUGUUCCCAUGGAUGAAAAUGGGUUUGCAGAAUGAAAAGAAAUUGUUCAAUGUAAUAAACUUUCUAUGAACAGUCCUCAAUAUUGUUACAUUAACUUUGAAAUAUGCACUUUACAUUCUGAGGAGCAGGCCUUUGCAGAAAUGCCGUUGAAAAACAAUGCAAAAUAAAAUAAACAAAAUACAUCUUGAGAUUAAACAUUCCAGUUGAAGGUGUGUUCUUUCGUAAACUGGAAUGAUAAUUUUGUAAUUCUGUAGGCACAUCUAUUGAGAAGUUACAACCAGUGGCAAAGUGCCUCAAGGGAAUCUAUGUAUGAUAUUAUAAUUGGAGGGACAUCUCAUCUGAAGGAAUUACAAUUAUUUGCCAGUAUGCCAAAUGAAUUUUCAACAUCAAUCAUACUUUCGUGAAUUUAUUGAUGAAAAUAAAACUAGGUACAUGAUUUAUUAUUUACUUCCAAGGGAUUCUAAGAUACUAUGUGUAAAAAGUCCAAUAUGCAGUGAUGAGCGUGCUAAUAACCCGCAAAAUAUGGGAUAUAACGCUAAAGAUGGGAAACAUGGGAUGCUGUCUGAAGUAAAAAGAGAUGAAACUUCUAGAGGUGGAAAUUAUCGAUAUAAACAUAUAAAUUAAUAUAUAUUACAUAGUUUAUUAUUAUAUAUAUAUUACAUAGUUUCCCACCUUUAGACGUAUCAGAUGAGUAUGACAACUGUCACUAUGACAGGAGAAUUUUAUAAAAUACUCCUGUCACGGACGUCUAAAGGUGGGAAACUAUGUAAUGUUAUUGUUGACUAAGAGUGUUAACCUGCUAACUCCAUUUUUCACUGUGAGUGAUAUUGGGGUAGUUUCUAGGUCUGUGUACCUUCAUAAGCUGUCCCACAAGCCCGCUGGUUCCACUGUAGUUUAGAGAUAGUUAUUUCUAAACUACAUUGGUGUCAGCGGGUUUGUGGGGUGGUGUAUGAAAGUACACAGACCCAGAAACCAGCCCAAUAUCACUCAAAGUGAAAAAUGGAGUCAGCAGGUUAAAACUCUUAUCUGAUGUUAUGUUAAUUUAUUCGUUUAUAAGGAUAAUUUCCACUUCUACCAGUUUCAUCUUUUUUUAUCUCACAAGUUAAUGUUUUCCAUCUUUUUCCAUCUGUUCUCCAUGAAAUUUAUGAGUUCAUUUUUUGUACCUAUUAAACUUUAUUUUAAGGAUGAAUUUGAAAUGCAUUUAGGAAAUAUAUCUGUAAAAAAUAAAAUUUGUAUU